AGUAGUUUAUUUAAGGCAAUAUAAACAUGCAAUUUUUUUCAGAAUAAAACCGUUUGUUCUGUCGUGUCCAAAUUAAUAAAGAUGUCCAAUUAACAAGAAAAAUGCAAUGCAUAAUUGGCAGGGGCUACCGUUACGGAUUAACAGUUUGUAACAGGUGUAAAUGUGUUGCAUGUCAAAAAUUGUCCAAUUAACAAGAAAAUUGCAAUGCAUAAUUGACAGGGGUCAUCGUUACGGAUUAACAGUUUGCACCAGGCGUACAUAUGAUAUCUUUUUGUCUUUUGUUCAUUUUUAUUGGCGCCUGUUAUAUGUAACAAGUUUUAGAAUUAUUUUUUU
Molecule: long non-coding RNA, 333 nt
Organism: Mercenaria mercenaria
Lineage: Eukaryota; Metazoa; Mollusca; Bivalvia; Venerida; Veneridae
Exons: 2
Source: RefSeq, a predicted model, not a curated record